This 465-nucleotide ribosomal RNA is filed under the name Vreelandella stevensii. Its description in RNAcentral is "partial 16S ribosomal RNA". It matches the Rfam family "Bacterial small subunit ribosomal RNA", at positions 338 to 795 of the family's 1533-position model. Lineage: Bacteria; Pseudomonadati; Pseudomonadota; Gammaproteobacteria; Oceanospirillales; Halomonadaceae. The record is from RNAcentral.
CCUACGGGAGGCUGCAGUGGGGAAUAUUGGACAAUGGGGGCAACCCUGAUCCAGCCAUGCCGCGUGUGUGAAGAAGGCCCUCGGGUUGUAAAGCACUUUCAGUGAGGAAGAACGCCUGGUGGUUAAUACCCAUCAGGAAGGACAUCACUCACAGAAGAAGCACCGGCUAACUCCGUGCCAGCAGCCGCGGUAAUACGGAGGGUGCGAGCGUUAAUCGGAAUUACUGGGCGUAAAGCGCGCGUAGGUGGCUUGAUAAGCCGGUUGUGAAAGCCCCGGGCUCAACCUGGGAACGGCAUCCGGAACUGUCAAGCUUGAGUGCAGGAGAGGAAGGUAGAAUUCGCGGUGUAGCGGUGAAAUGCGUAGAGAUCGGGAGGAACACCAGUGGCGAAGGCGGCCUUCUGGACUGACACUGACACUGAGGUGCGAAAGCGUGGGUAGCAAACAGGAUUAGAUACCCCUGUAGUC